AAAAGUUCAAAAAUACCAAUAUUUACAAAUCCAACUAAAAGAAAAAUAGUAUACAACAAUCACUAGGGUGCCUCCUAGUUAGCGCUCUUUUAACGUCAUUAGCUUGACCCGGUAGAGUUCAAACACCCAUCAGUAGGCGUUGAUACUCCUUUUGCUUGUUAUUUUCUUCUUUUUCUUUUUCCUGCUGAAUCUCUUCAAAAAGUUGAUCAAACCAAGCACCGGUUUCCAUGUUUCAAUCAUAGGAAUUUUGAUCUCCAAUUUCUUGAAGAUCUCCAUACAGUGCUUGAUUUUCUUUUCCUUCCUAUGAUUUUUCUUUUUAUGAGGAAGGGGCUUUUCAUAUGAUCUUUUCUUCCUUCCUCUCUUCCUUUUUUUCUCAACCUUCUCCUUCUUCCACUUUCUUUUUUUCUUUUUUCUUAUUUUCUUAUUUUUUCUUUUUUUCUCAACCACUGCUUUUUCUUUCUCCUCAUCUUUCUCUCCCUCACUCAACCUUUCUACUUCAUCUUCCUCUAUUUUCUCCUCUUAUAUCUUUUCCACUUCUCUCUCCACCUUCUCCUCAUCAACAACCUCAUAAAUUUUUGUCUCCAAAUUCCUAAAGGUAACUUCAUUUCUCUUGGAAUCACACCUCUCUAGAAAUUUGUCGAACUUUUCAUUCAAGUUUUUGACUUGUUCCGUCACAUCAGCUGUUUGUUGACAAAGUUGUUGAUCAUACUCCCACGAUUCUAUUGGUGAAGAGUAUUCUUGCUACCACUGAUAAUGUUGCCUCUCCUCCAUGCUUCUAUGAGAAGAAAAUCUAAUAUACAUGUCUUGUGGAAAGAAUUCAUCAUUCUUUAUAUCGUCCUCUAUGCCUUUAACAUGGUAUGGUUCAAAAUUCAUAAUCCUCUAAAAAAGUUCAUCAGAUUCUACACUUCUUUGUAUAGGCAUGAAAUGAGGCUCAACAGCUUGUCCAUAUCGACUUUGAUCCAUGUAUGAGUGAGGUUCCCACCAGUGAUUGAAAUUAUUUUCGUAGGCAAGAGUGCCCAUAUAAUCAAAUCCUUGUUCGUACUGCAUUUGGCAAACAUUAGGCACAAAACCCUAGACAACAUUUAUUAGAACAAAAAUAAAAACAAACAUGAAAAAUCAAGUCAAAUUCAAUCAAUUUACACUACUCGAAAAAGUUAAACCUCGAGCCCUCGACAACGGCGCCUAAAACUUGUUGACUCACUGGCAACUGCACCAUAUCGUGCAAGUAAUAUAAUCGGUAAAGCCCGAUAUCGUUCUUCCCAAGAGACUCGAAAGGCCUUAUCGUUCGUGUGAAUUAAAAUCGUAAGACUUGUAGAAAAAGAUUAAUUGUUGUGAAUGUAAAGACAGAAAAUUAACAUGCAAUGUAUUUGAUUUAAUUGACAAAAAAAACUAUGGAUGAAUGAAGUUGUUGGGGGUUGACAAUUUCAUCUAAUCCACUCCCUCUUAUCUACUCCUCUUGUUUAAUGUGCUUAAUUAUCUAAUUGUUAUGCAAACUUUCUUGGCCUACCCUUAACCCGAUCCCUCGGCGAAAAGAGCCUAUUACUAAUUACCGGCUUGCUAUCCCUAGCCUCCCCUAGCAAUUAAUAAUGCAUUAAGAACAGAAGCAAAAACAAUU
This 1615-nucleotide long non-coding RNA is filed under the name Vigna radiata. Its description in RNAcentral is "long non-coding RNA (VRAD_LNC011202)". Lineage: Eukaryota; Viridiplantae; Streptophyta; Magnoliopsida; Fabales; Fabaceae. The record is from RNAcentral.